GAGGACCGAACCGACUAAUGUUGAAAAAUUAGCGGAUGACCUGUGGCUGGGGGUGAAAGGCCAAUCAAACCGGGAGAUAGCUGGUUCUCCCCGAAAGCUAUUUAGGUAGCGCCUCGUGAAUUCAUCUCCGGGGGUAGAGCACUGUUUCGGCUAGGGGGCCAUCCCGGCUUACCAACCCGAUGCAAACUGCGAAUACCGGAGAAUGUUAUCACGGGAGACACACGGCGGGUGCUAACGUCCGUCGUGAAGAGGGAAACAACCCAGACCGCCAGCUAAGGUCCCAAAGUCAUGGUUAAGUGGGAAACGAUGUGGGAAGGCCCAGACAGCCAGGAUGUUGGCUUAGAAGCAGCCAUCAUUUAAAGAAAGCGUAAUAGCUCACUGGUCGAGUCGGCCUGCGCGGAAGAUGUAACGGGGCUAAACCAUGCACCGAAGCUGCGGCAGCGACGCUUAUGCGUUGUUGGGUAGGGGAGCGUUCUGUAAGCCUGCGAAGGUGGCCUGUGAGGGUUGCUGGAGGUAUCAGAAGUGCGAAUGCUGACAUAAGUAACGAUAAAGCGGGUGAAAAGCCCGCUCGCCGGAAGACCAAGGGUUCCUGUCCAACGUUAAUCGGGGCAGGGUGAGUCGACCCCUAAGGCGAGGCCGAAAGGCGUAGUCGAUGGGAAACGGGUUAAUAUUCCCGUACUUGGUGUUACUGCGAAGGGGGGACGGAGAAGGCUAUGUUGGCCGGGCGACGGUUGUCCCGGUUUAAGCGUGUAGGUGUGUGUUCCAGGUAAAUCCGGUUCACUUUAACACUGAGGCGUGACGACGAGGCACUACGGUGCUGAAGCAACAAAUGCCCUGCUUCCAGGAAAAGCCUCUAAGCAUCAGGUAACAUCAAAUCGUACCCCAAACCGACACAGGUGGUCAGGUAGAGAAUACCAAGGCGCUUGAGAGAACUCGGGUGAAGGAACUAGGCAAAAUGGUGCCGUAACUUCGGGAGAAGGCACGCUGACACGUAGGUGAAGUGAUUUACUCAUGGAGCUGAAGUCAGUCGAAGAUACCAGCUGGCUGCAACUGUUUAUUAAAAACACAGCACUGUGCAAACACGAAAGUGGACGUAUACGGUGUGACGCCUGCCCGGUGCCGGAAGGUUAAUUGAUGGGGUCAGCGCAAGCGAAGCUCCUGAUCGAAGCCCCGGUAAACGGCGGCCGUAACUAUAACGGUCCUAAGGUAGCGAAAUUCCUUGUCGGGUAAGUUCCGACCUGCACGAAUGGCGUAAUGAUGGCCAGGCUGUCUCCACCCGAGACUCAGUGAAAUUGAACUCGCUGUGAAGAUGCAGUGUACCCGCGGCAAGACGGAAAGACCCCGUGAACCUUUACUAUAGCUUGACACUGAACAUUGAGCCUUGAUGUGUAGGAUAGGUGGGAGGCUUUGAAGUGUGGACGCCAGUCUGCAUGGAGCCGACCUUGAAAUACCACCCUUUAAUGUUUGAUGUUCUAACGUGGACCCGUUACCCGGGUUGCGGACAGUGUCUGGUGGGUAGUUUGACUGGGGCGGUCUCCUCCUAAAGAGUAACGGAGGAGCACGAAGGUUGGCUAAUCCUGGUCGGACAUCAGGAGGUUAGUGCAAUGGCAUAAGCCAGCUUGACUGCGAGCGUGACGGCGCGAGCAGGUGCGAAAGCAGGUCAUAGUGAUCCGGUGGUUCUGAAUGGAAGGGCCAUCGCUCAACGGAUAAAAGGUACUCCGGGGAUAACAGGCUGAUACCGCCCAAGAGUUCAUAUCGACGGCGGUGUUUGGCACCUCGAUGUCGGCUCAUCACAUCCUGGGGCUGAAGUAGGUCCCAAGGGUAUGGCUGUUCGCCAUUUAAAGUGGUACGCGAGCUGGGUUUAGAACGUCGUGAGACAGUUCGGUCCCUAUCUGCCGUGGGCGCUGGAGAACUGAGGGGGGCUGCUCCUAGUACGAGAGGACCGGAGUGGACGCAUCACUGGUGUUCGGGUUGUCAUGCCAAUGGCACUGCCCGGUAGCUAAAUGCGGAAGAGAUAAGUGCUGAAAGCAUCUAAGCACGAAACUUGCCCCGAG
This 2054-nucleotide ribosomal RNA is filed under the name Salmonella enterica subsp. enterica serovar Enteritidis. RNAcentral describes it as "partial 23S ribosomal RNA". It matches the Rfam family "Bacterial large subunit ribosomal RNA", at positions 769 to 2803 of the family's 2925-position model. Lineage: Bacteria; Pseudomonadati; Pseudomonadota; Gammaproteobacteria; Enterobacterales; Enterobacteriaceae. The record is from RNAcentral.